This 1474-nucleotide ribosomal RNA is filed under the name uncultured Bordetella sp. RNAcentral describes it as "partial 16S-23S ribosomal RNA intergenic spacer". It matches the Rfam family "Bacterial small subunit ribosomal RNA". Lineage: Bacteria; Pseudomonadati; Pseudomonadota; Betaproteobacteria; Burkholderiales; Alcaligenaceae. The record is from RNAcentral.
GUUCGAUUCUAGCUCAGAUUGAACGCUGGCGGGAUGCUUUACAUGCAAGUCGAACGGCAGCACGGACUUCGGUCUGGUGGCGAGUGACGAACGGGUGAGUAAUGAAUCGGAACGUGCCUAGUGGCGAGGGAUAACUACGCAGAAAGCGUAGCUAAUACCGCAUACGCCCUUCGAGGAAAGCGGGGGACCUUCGGGCCUCGCACUAUUAGGCGGCCGAUAUCGGAUUGGCUAGUUGGUGGGGUAACGGCUCACCAAGGCGACGAUCCGUAGCUGGUUUGAGAGGACGACCAACCACACUGGGACUGAGACACGGCCCAGACUCCUGCAGGAGGCAGCGGUGGGGGUACUGGACAAUGGGGAAACCUGAUCCAGCCAUCCCGCGUGUGCGAUGAGGGCCUUCGGGUUGUAAAGCACUUUUGGCAGGAAAGAAGCGGCUUUGCGGGAUAAUACGUCAACUGACGAUGCCUGCAGAAUAAGCACCGGCUAACUACGUGCCUUUAGCCGCGGUAAUACGUAGGGUGCAAGCGUUAAUCGGAAUUACUGGGCGUAAAGCGUGCGCAGGCGGUUCGGAAAAGAAAGAUGUGAAAUCCCAGAGCUUAGCUUUGGAACUGCAUUUUUAACUACCGAGCUAGAGUGUGUCAGAGGAGUGGAAUUCCGUCUUAGCAGUGAAAUGCGUAGAUAUGCGGAGGGGAACACCGAUAGCGAGCAGCCUCCUGGGAUAACACUGACGCUCAUGCACGAAAGCGUGGGGAGCAAACAGGUUGAGCCACGGUAGUCCACGCCCUAAACGAUGUCAGCCUAGCUGUUGGGGCCGCUUCAGGCCUUGGUAGCGCAGCCCCAACGCGUGGGGAUUGACCGCCUGGGGAGAGUACGGUCGCAAGAUUAAAACUCAAAGAGAUUGACGGGACCCGCACAAGCGGUGGAUGAUGUGUGGAUUAAUUCGAUGCAACGCGAAAAACCUUACCUACCCUUAAACAUGUCUGGAAUCCCGAAGAUUUGGGAGUACUCGCCAAGAGAACCCGGAACACAGGUGCUGCGCUGGCUGUCGUCAGCUCGUGUCGUGAGAUGUUGACGGGUUAAGUCCCGCAACAGGCGCAGCCCUUGUCAUUGGUUGCUACGAAGAACUGCUCUAUUAGGACUGCCGGUGAUGGAAACCGGAGGAGGAAGGUGGGGAUGACGUCAAGUCCUCAUAGCCCUUAUCAGUGGAAGCACCACUGCUCAUACAAUGGUCAGGACAGAGGGUCGCCAACCCGCGAAGACCAAUCCCGAAACCCGAUCGUAGUCCGGAUCGCAGUCUGCAACUCGACUGCGUGAAGUGGAAUCACAAGUAAUCGCGGAUCAGCAUGUCGCAGUGAAUACGUUCCCGGGUCUUGUACACACACCGCCCGUCACACCAUGGGAGUGGUUUGCAAGUAGUUAGCCUAACCGUAAGGAGGGCGAUUACCACGGUAGGAUUCAUGACUGGGGUGAAGUC